Molecule: long non-coding RNA, 556 nt
Organism: Stegodyphus dumicola
Lineage: Eukaryota; Metazoa; Arthropoda; Arachnida; Araneae; Eresidae
Source: RefSeq, a predicted model, not a curated record
UGAGUAUCCUGAAAAUAUCUCAGAUGAAUAUCCUGAGAAAGUAUCAGAUAAAUAUUCUGAGAAAGAUAAUGAUGAUCUUUCUGAGGAAGAAAAUGGUUAUGAUUCUGAGGAAGAAAAUGACGAUGAUACUGUGGAAGACUAUGACGAUGAUGAUUUUGAGGAAGAAUAUGAUGAGGAUGAUUUUGAGGAAGAAUAUGACUAUGAUACUGAGGAAGACUAUGACGAUGAUGAUUUUGAGGAAGAAGAUGAUGAUGAUGAUUCUGAGGAAGAAAAUUAUAGGAAAUGUUCUCCGAAAGAAGCAUAUGAAUACCAUGAGGAAGAACAUGAUCAGGACUAUUCUAAGAAAAUAGCCAAGCAGUGUAGAGCUUUAGGGGAAUGUUGUUGGCUUCAUAAACAAUGCUGCGGAGAAGAUACUCAGUGUCUAUGCGACUUUACUGGUGGCAACUGUAAAUGCUCUCCAAAAGGCAUAGUGACAUAACAAAUUAAAUAUUCAUAACCCAUAAAUGUCCAUGGGAAACAUUAUUUAAGAGUUUAAAUAAAGUUAUGUAUUCAGAAA